AUUAGGAUUUGGUUUAGGAUUUAGGAUUUGUUAGGAUUAGGAUAUGGUUUAGGAUUUGGUUUAUAGUUUAGAAUUUAGGAUUUGGUUUAGGAUUUGAUUUAAGGUUUAGAGUUUGGAUUAGGGUUUGGUUUAGGAUUUGGUUAGGGAUUGGUUUAAGGUUUAGGAUUUGAUUAGGAUUUAGUUUAAGGUUUAGGUUUUGAUUAGGAUUUGAUUUAGGAUUUAGGAUUUUUUAGGAUUAGGGUAUGGUUUAGGAUUUGGUUUAGAGUUUAGGGUUUAGGAUUUAGUUUAGGAUUUGAUUUAGGAUUUAGGGUUUGGAUUAGGAUUUGGAUUAGGGUUUGGUUUAAGAUUUGGUUAGGGAUUGAUUUAAGAUUUAGGGUUUGAUUAAGAAUUGAUUAGGAUUUGAUUUAGGAUUUAGAAUUUAUUUAGGAUUUGAUUAAGGUUGGAUUAGGAUUAAGGUUUGGUUAGAAUUUAAGGUUCUAUUAGAUUUUUGUUAUGGUUUCACUAAGUUUUCUUUAAUAUUCUUUUAUAUUUCUUUAGGAUUUUCUUGUGUUUCUUUUAUAACUUCAAUAAAAUUUAAUUGAAUUUGCUUAAUAUUUGAUUAUGAUUGUUAACGUUUAAUUGUAAAUUCUCUAUAAUCUUAUUGGAUUGUUAGGACCUUUUGUUGCAAUUUUCUUUUACCUUCUACAAUCAGGUGCUCGGUGCAUUUUCAAGCAAGACUUCACGUAUUACGACAUA
This 735-nucleotide long non-coding RNA is filed under the name Physcomitrium patens. RNAcentral describes it as "long non-coding RNA (PPAT_LNC008754)". Lineage: Eukaryota; Viridiplantae; Streptophyta; Bryopsida; Funariales; Funariaceae. The record is from RNAcentral.